RNAcentral lists this long non-coding RNA (438 nucleotides) under Coffea arabica (coffee). RNAcentral describes it as "long non-coding RNA (CARA_LNC004785)". The record is from RNAcentral. Lineage: Eukaryota; Viridiplantae; Streptophyta; Magnoliopsida; Gentianales; Rubiaceae.
GCCAGAAAUUCAAAUUUGUCAUUAGCUAAUAGUUUAGAAAUGAAUUCACAGCAAAGGAUUUGAAACAAUGUUUCUCAUUUGAGGCAAUGUUGAUAUCAAAAUUCAAAACACUGGAAUUGCUUGUAAGCAAUUUGAAGAGAAAAGUCCAUGCUAUUCAGUAUCAUACAUAGCUGCAAAAAGAAGGUAAAAGCAUAUAUAGCAAUGAAUUAGAAUAGCCGUCCAACUUAUGCUCAUACUAUCUGUGUUAUGCAACUUCUGCUCAUACUAUCUGUGUUACUCUACAGGAAAAUGCAGGAGACGGUGUUCCUCUAACAAUGUUGCAGAUUGCUAACCUGGUGUAUAAUACUUUGCAAACUUCUCUAUGAAUCUUUGAGUUCUAGAUUUGUUGUUCUGCGCCUCUUCUACAAGCUUUGUCAUUCUUGCCACCACGCAAUCUUC